GUCCUGAGCGAGCGGGCGCCGUGCGCGUGUCCCGCGGCCGAGCUGCUAAUAAAGUUGCGCUGUGGGCAAGCGCAGCUACGGCGCCGGGAGAGCGCGCGCCGCCGGCCCGAUUUGAACCAAUGAAAGAAGCUUAUGGCACUUAUGAAGAUAAAUGUCACUCUUCCCUUUUUAAUUGGAACUGUUGUUUAGGACUUGUAUAUGACUUUUCACUUGUGAUCUGACUUUGAGUUGCAGGAAGGUUUCUGAAGAUUUAAAUCAAAUGACGUCAAUGGCCAGCUUGUUUUCUUUUACUAGUCCAGCAGUAAAGCGAUUGUUGGGCUGGAAGCAAGGUGAUGAAGAGGAGAAAUGGGCAGAAAAGGCAGUCGAUGCUUUGGUGAAAAAGCUAAAAAAGAAAAAGGGUGCCAUGGAGGAACUGGAGAAAGCCUUGAGCAGUCCAGGACAGCCAAGCAAAUGUGUCACAAUUCCCAGGUCUUUAGAUGGACGCCUGCAGGUUUCUCACAGAAAAGGCUUGCCCCACGUUAUAUAUUGUCGUGUUUGGCGCUGGCCUGAUUUGCAGAGUCAUCAUGAGCUAAAGCCAUUGGAUAUUUGUGAAUUUCCUUUUGGAUCUAAGCAAAAGGAAGUUUGUAUCAACCCAUACCACUAUAAGAGAGUGGAGAGUCCAGUCUUACCUCCAGUAUUAGUGCCUCGUCAUAAUGAAUUCAACCCACAACACAGCCUUCUGGUUCAGUUUAGAAACUUAAGCCACAAUGAACCUCACAUGCCACAAAAUGCAACGUUUCCAGAUUCUUUCCAUCAGCCCAACAACACUCCUUUUCCCUUAUCUCCAAAUAGUCCCUACCCUCCUUCCCCUGCUAGCAGCACAUAUCCCAACUCCCCAGCAAGUUCUGGACCAGGAAGUCCAUUUCAGCUCCCAGCUGAUACUCCUCCUCCUGCAUAUAUGCCACCAGAUGAUCAGAUGGGUCAAGAUAAUUCCCAGCCCAUGGAUACAAGCAAUAAUUUGAUUCCUCAGAUUAUGCCCAGUAUAUCCAGCAGAGAUGUACAGCCUGUUGCCUAUGAAGAGCCCAAACAUUGGUGUUCAAUUGUCUACUAUGAAUUAAACAAUCGUGUUGGGGAAGCUUUUCAUGCAUCUUCUACUAGUGUGUUAGUAGAUGGAUUCACAGACCCUUCAAAUAACAAAAGUAGAUUCUGCUUGGGAUUGUUGUCAAAUGUUAAUCGUAAUUCAACAAUUGAAAACACUAGGCGACAUAUUGGAAAAGGUGUUCAUCUGUACUAUGUUGGUGGAGAGGUGUAUGCAGAGUGCCUCAGUGACAGCAGCAUAUUUGUACAGAGUAGGAACUGCAACUUUCAUCAUGGCUUUCAUCCUACCACUGUCUGUAAGAUUCCCAGCAGCUGCAGCCUCAAAAUUUUUAACAAUCAAGAGUUUGCCCAGCUUCUGGCUCAGUCUGUCAACCAUGGAUUUGAGGCAGUAUAUGAGCUCACCAAAAUGUGUACCAUUCGAAUGAGUUUUGUCAAGGGCUGGGGAGCAGAAUAUCACCGGCAAGAUGUUACCAGCACCCCAUGUUGGAUUGAGAUUCAUCUUCAUGGGCCUCUUCAGUGGCUGGAUAAAGUCCUCACUCAGAUGGGCUCCCCUCUAAACCCCAUUUCUUCUGUUUCAUAGUGCAGAAGUAUUCUUUUUCAGUUAUAUUAUUAGUGGACUUGUUUUAAUUUUAGGGAAAAUUUCAGUACAGAUACUGUGAGCUUACAUGGAAAACAGAUAUUACAGCUUAUUUUUUUUCUACAUAAUUGUGACCAAUACAUUUGUUUUUGUGAUGAAUCAACAUCUGUUUGUAUUCAUGUUCAUGUGAUUAACUCUCAAAAGUGUUGUGAAAGAUGCAGAGUGAGUAUUGUGCCCCAGUUCAGAAGUUUGGCAUUGAUCUUAAACUGGAACGUACUUUUUGCCUUAUUGUCCCAGAAAUUUUUUUAUUUGUUAAUUUUUUUUGGAAAAGUAAUACAUCACAUGAUGAAAAUUAUAACAGUAUAAGAAGGUGUUCAACGAGAGUUUUCCGUUCUAUUCUUGAUUCUCCAGAAGCUGUACUUUUACCAGUUUCUUAGUCCCACCAACUUUAAAAAAGUGUAAUCCAUUGUUUUAUAAAAGCAUAUGGUAGGGACUUAAAAGAAACUAUAAAAAAAAGUCUUUUAUUUGAAGGAACACUGCACUGCUCUAACAGGUAGUGUUCAGUAAAAGCCAAGUGAUAGUUUUCUAAGUGACAUAAAAUUUACAUUUAAUACAGCUAAAUGUUUGUCAGUGUAUUGUGACUUCACUCAAUAUUAUCUUUUGUAAAAUAUUUCCUUUUUUAAAAAAAACUUAUUGCAAACAACGGAUCUCCAGUAUAUGUCAUUUACUCAAAUCUGUCAUAAGUACUACUUAAUAGCUAGUGACAGUGCAUGCACGGCCUUGUUCAGCUGUGUUUGCUGCUUUUGGCCAAUGUUGCAAGAAUUCUAAUUUUGACAUGCAUUAAUCUUUUAUUUUGCACUCUGAUGGGUGACGGUUUUUAGAGUAACCUUUGGUGAAACACACUCAAGUGACUUGGACUUACAUGUUCAUCCUUGCUUCCUUGGUACCCCUUUUGUAUUAAACACUGCAAUUUAUAGAUUACAGUUAUAGGAAGUUAUGCUUUUUCUAGCUUUUGUUGUAUUUUCAACCUAGAUUAUAAGACUGUUAUUCUGUAGCUCCAAUUGAAGGUGCCUUUUUAAUUCCCUGCAGGAUGAUAUUAAUGUUGGAAAAUCAUGUACUUCAUCCCAUUGCUCUUACUUGCAUCUGUUUCCCCAUGCAAGGACCUGUGUCCUGUAGCCAUAGGAGCCUCUUCAGUCUGGCCCCAAGGAUGAGACCACCUGUCUGAUGCUUAAAUGAAUUGAGCUAGCUGAUUUGAAAACAUUCACAUAUCAAAUAAUAUAGACUAUUCUCUCAGUUACCAUGGGUGCUCUUUUUCCAUUUUUUUUUUUUUUAGCACCUAGGUGGAUACUAGUCUCCACAAUCCUCAGAGAGGAAAGACAUGAAAACUCUGAAAUAUUCAUUUAAUCAGUCAUGCUUAAGGGCUUUGAGUAAAGGACUCUUAACCUCUUUUUCUAGGGAGCAGUCAAAUGGACACUUAGUUAUGGCAUGAAGAACAAAAACAUUAUUUUGGAAAAAAAAUCACCUAACUUACCUAUUAGAAGAAGCUUAUUUUCCAGUGCCUUUUAAAAAUAUGUGGAGCCAUGUCAGUCUUCUGUUUAAAAUGUUAGUUUCAUUUGACUUUCUACUUUGCCCUUUCUGCUCUUAAGAGGAAAAAAAAUGCAUUUUUUGAGGAAAGGAGAAUGCAGUUCCUUUUGUUUUCCAUAACAUUAUUUAUUGCUUUUAUAAAGUGCAGCCAAUGGAUGGUUUUAGUUCCCUCAGACGAAGUGCCAUAUGUGUUUCAGCUCACAGUCCUUUGCUAAGUAAAAGGAAACUUUCUGACAGUCACCUGAGCCUUAAACAUAAGUUUUACAUGACAUGCAUUCUCAAUCUUCCAGAAUUGUGUCAGCCACACAAAAGAGGUUUAUUUGCUUAGUGAUAGAACUUAGCUAUUUACAUCAUUCUUUUACUUAGCAGGCUCAUGGUACAAUCUUUGGAACAAAUUUGUAGAAUAACUACCUAGGUUGACUGGCAGAUAGAUACAUGUAGUCAACUUCAGUGGGCUUGAACUGGUGGAAACUAUUGAAUUGUUUUAUUGAUGCUUACAACUGAGUUAAUUAAAAAUUGUUUUUAUUCAUGUAACAGCCUUUGGAGUUAGCAAGAUUUUAUGUGAUUGGCUUUUUCUGUGUUUUCUCUAAGGAGCUGUGUCUCGAAUGACAGUACUGAAGCUAUUAACUGGGGCUAUAGGGAAAAUAUAAAGAAGAGCUUUUGGCACCUUGCUUAACUAUCUCCAUCUUAAAACCUUUCCAAAACAUAUUACAUCAAGCUUAGCUCUCCACAUAUUUUAAUGAGAGUGCUGAAAUGACAGAAGCAGCCAAUUGGGAUUAAUCUGGGAAGGCUUUCAGAAAGAAGGAAAAUAAGACUUUGGAAAAGAA
This is a non-coding RNA of Kogia breviceps (pygmy sperm whale), 4065 nucleotides long. The record is from RefSeq and is a predicted model, not a curated record. Lineage: Eukaryota; Metazoa; Chordata; Mammalia; Artiodactyla; Physeteridae.